GACGAACGCUGGCGGCGUGCUUAACACAUGCAAGUCGAACGGUGAACCUCUUCGGAGGGGAUCAGUGGCGAACGGGUGAGUAACACGUGGGCAACCUGCCCCCGGCUCUGGGAUAACUCCAAGAAAUUGGGGCUAAUACCGGAUGUUCACCGCUUCCCGCAUGGGUGGUGGUGGAAAGGGUUUCCGGCUGGGGAUGGGCCCGCGGCCUAUCAGCUUGUUGGUGGGGUAGUGGCCUACCAAGGCGACGACGGGUAGCCGGCCUGAGAGGGUGACCGGCCACACUGGGACUGAGACACGGCCCAGACUCCUACGGGAGGCAGCAGUGGGGAAUAUUGCGCAAUGGGCGGAAGCCUGACACAGCGACGCCGCGUGGGGGAUGACGGCCUUCGGGUUGUAAACCUCUUUCAGCAGGGACGAAGCGCAAGUGACGGUACCUGCAGAAGAAGCACCGGCCAACUACGUG
RNAcentral lists this ribosomal RNA (463 nucleotides) under uncultured bacterium. RNAcentral describes it as "partial 16S ribosomal RNA". It matches the Rfam family "Bacterial small subunit ribosomal RNA", at positions 28 to 507 of the family's 1533-position model. The record is from RNAcentral.